GUGUCAGCCGCCGCGGUAAUACGUAGGGGGCAAGCGUUGUCCGGAUUUAUUGGGCGUAAAGCGCGUGUAGGCGGCUUGGCAAGUCCGCUGUGAAAACUCGAGGCUCAACCUCGAGAUGUCGGUGGAAACUGCCUGGCUAGAGUCCGGAAGAGGAGUGUGGAAUUCCUGGUGUAGCGGUGAAAUGCGCAGAUAUCAGGAAGAACACCUAUGGCGAAGGCAGCACUCUGGGACGGUACUGACGCUGAGACGCGAAAGCGUGGGGAGCGAACAGGAUUAGAAACCCGAGUAGUCC
Molecule: ribosomal RNA, 292 nt
Filed under: uncultured bacterium
Lineage: Bacteria
Description: partial 16S ribosomal RNA
Rfam family: Bacterial small subunit ribosomal RNA
Source: RNAcentral